GGGACCACUGGAUGAGGGGCCUGCGUAGCAUCAGCUAGUUGGUGGGGUAAUGGCCUACCAAGGCGAAGACGCUUAGCUGGUCUGAGAGGAUGAUCAGCCACACUGGGACUGAGACACGGCCCAGACUCCUACGGGAGGCAGCAGUGGGGAAUAUUGGACAAUGGGCGCAAGCCUGAUCCAGCCACGCCGCGUGAGUGAUGAAGGCCUUCGGGUCGUAAAGCUCUGUGGGGAGGGACGAACGGCGCCAUGAAGAGUGGCGAUUGACGGUACCUCCUUAGCAAGCACCGGCUAACUUCGUGCCAGCAGCCGCGGUAAUACGAAGGGUGCAAACGUUGCUCGGAAUCAUUGGGCGUAAAGCGCACGUAGGCGGCUUUCUAAGUCGGAUGUGAAAUCCCUCGGCUUAACCGAGGACGUGCAUCCGAAACUGGGAGGCUUGAGUAUGGAAGAGGGUCGCAGAAUUCCCGGUGUAGAGGUGAAAUUCGUAGAUAUCGGGAGGAAUACCAGUGGCGAAGGC
This 514-nucleotide ribosomal RNA is filed under the name uncultured bacterium. RNAcentral describes it as "bacterial SSU rRNA". It matches the Rfam family "Bacterial small subunit ribosomal RNA", at positions 211 to 722 of the family's 1533-position model. The record is from RNAcentral.